GGGGAUGUAGAUCAAUUGGUAGAUCGCUCGCUCCGCAUGCGAGAGGUACCGGGAUCGAAGCCCGGCAUCUCCA
RNAcentral lists this transfer RNA (73 nucleotides) under Emiliania huxleyi. It matches the Rfam family "tRNA". Rfam says of the family: Transfer RNA (tRNA) molecules are approximately 80 nucleotides in length. Their secondary structure includes four short double-helical elements and three loops (D, anti-codon, and T loops). Lineage: Eukaryota; Haptophyta; Isochrysidales; Noelaerhabdaceae. RNAcentral also lists the same sequence under 1 other name. The record is from Rfam by way of RNAcentral.